UUUAAAGAAAAGGGCAAGGAAUCAAUGGGCAAAAGAAGGGGACGCCAACUCGUAAAAAGAUUGUGAGAGGGGUGAUGAUAGUUUGUUGUUGGAGGUUGUGGAAAGCUAGAAAUGAACGGGUUUUUGAGAAUAAAGACGCCAAGGUUGUGGAGGUGGGUUUGCGGCCCUUCCUUUCUGCCUUGGAAAUGUGACAACUGGCACCA
This 203-nucleotide long non-coding RNA is filed under the name Helianthus annuus (common sunflower). RNAcentral's name for it is "hypothetical non coding rna". The record is from RNAcentral. Lineage: Eukaryota; Viridiplantae; Streptophyta; Magnoliopsida; Asterales; Asteraceae.